Molecule: long non-coding RNA, 391 nt
Organism: Cygnus atratus (black swan)
Lineage: Eukaryota; Metazoa; Chordata; Aves; Anseriformes; Anatidae
Exons: 2
Source: RefSeq, a predicted model, not a curated record
CGUCGUGUUGUCCGAGUUGUGGUCCGUCGCGCACCUGGAGGGGGGGACGUCAGCCCCGCGGGGAAAAAACCCUCCCUGCACUAUAAAUACUGCCAGCACCGCGAGGCUGGGGCAGCGAAGGAAGGGAGCGGGGCCCGCUCAGAGAGGCACCGUGUAAUUUGAAGGAACCAAAGCUGCGCUUGCAGGAGGAAGGCAAACGGGGAAAAGUUGCUUUUGGACCCAGGGCUGAGGUUUUUGGCCAUCUCCAGCCUCCUGUCUCCACCCCUUCCUUGACAUUUUCUACGUUUUUCAGUAAAGCCUUUGAAAAGUUCCAGGUUCCUCAAACAUCACAUUCUCCUGGUUUAAAAGGCUCGGAUUUGGUUGCAGGAAAUUAAUAAAUAUCUACAUAUAU